CUUCAAUGCGCGAAAGCGUGAGAGGGGAAUUCCAAGUGCUCAAGUUUUAGUUGGGCUUUUGCUAAGUGUAAAAAGCUUGGCGAAUAAGGGGUGGGCAAGACUGGUGCCAGCCGCCGCGGUAACACCAGCGCCCCGAGUGGGGAUCGCGAUUAUUGGGCCUAAAGCGUUCGUAGCAGGUUCUGUAAAUCCUUUGUGAAAUGGGCAGGCUUAACCUGUCCGCGCGCAGAGGAGACUGCAGGACUCGAGAUCGGGAGAGGUCAGAAGUAUUCCUUGGGUACCGGUAAAAUGGGUUAAUCCAGGGAGGACUACCAAUGGCGAAGGCAUCUGACUAGAACGAUUCUGACUGUGAGGAACGAAAGCUAGGGGAGCAAAACGG
RNAcentral lists this ribosomal RNA (376 nucleotides) under uncultured archaeon. RNAcentral describes it as "bacterial SSU rRNA". It matches the Rfam family "Archaeal small subunit ribosomal RNA", at positions 350 to 727 of the family's 1478-position model. The record is from RNAcentral.